Molecule: long non-coding RNA, 1146 nt
Organism: Equus caballus (horse)
Lineage: Eukaryota; Metazoa; Chordata; Mammalia; Perissodactyla; Equidae
Source: Ensembl
CUAAAAAUGGCAGAGCAACUAGAAACAACCACCUUGGUCUCUGACACCAUGGAGUCAUUACACCAAUCCUGGCAUUCUGAGACCAACUUAGCUGUUGUUUCUCUUCGAUGAGUCUUCAACUUUAUACUUAAGAAUCAAGCAUUUCGCUGGAAUAUGUCUGCAUUAAGUCAUGAAAGAAGAGGGUUGACCAGUUAUUCUCCGAGGUCCUUUUCAGUGUCGCUCGUCAAGGACUGGUAAUGUUGAGACCACUCCAUUCGGGUGUUGGAAAGGAGUUGAUAACAGUUUCCAGUACUGAAGAGUCUUAACAUACCCAGUUUUGUAACCGGAAAAAAAUGACCCUGCAUGAUUAAGGGCGAAAUUCACUAGUCUUCCAGUUGAGUGUAGAGUCUACGUUUUUAACCUCUGAGACAUGCCUGGAAGUAGAACUAAGUGUGAUUCUUCAUGUAAAGACCACAAGGAAGAGAAAAAAUUGGAUUUCCCAAACUUGAUAGAGGUUUCUCAACUCUGAGCUGUUUGGAUAUAAUUUGCUUGAAGCUGUCAUGGCCACACAUCACUCUGUCCUUGGGGAAUGUAACAGAUAUGCGUCAUCCAACUACAUCUGAUGAGAAGUUCAGAAAAGGAAGUUGGUGAAGCUAUCAUUGACUUCUAAGUCAAGGUCCAAGCUGUCAGAAAACAAGUGGGAAAAUUGUAUCCACAGACAAAUCCAUGGAGGACUUUUAGGUUCCAGCGGACAUGGCCUGGUUCCCACUCAGAAGUCUUGGGUCUGGGUCUCAAUUAACUAGGCAGUAUUUGAAAGUCACUGUAUUUUUUUGAUUUUCAGUUUCCUCAUCUGUAGAAUGGAUUAACAUCUGCUCUCUCUAUCUCCUAAAGUUAAUCUGAGAUGCGAAUGAAAUCACAUAUAUGAGAAUACUCACAUAAAUGUUAUUUUAAUUUGCUUUAUGUGUGUGUGUUUUGCCUUCUAAACAAUGUUUCUUCCAGGUAAGGAUAUGUAUGCUUGGGAUGUGUACCUACCAAAAUGCCUGGCACAAGGUGUUUGUGAAAUAUUUGUUGAAUGUUUGUUAAAUGGAUGUUGAAUCUGAAUGAAACUGAAACAAUUUUGAAAAACUAUAGUUUGGAAGAGGUAACAAUAAAAUAUAUCAAAAUGUG